RNAcentral lists this ribosomal RNA (485 nucleotides) under uncultured bacterium. RNAcentral's name for it is "partial 16S ribosomal RNA". It matches the Rfam family "Bacterial small subunit ribosomal RNA", at positions 899 to 1397 of the family's 1533-position model. The record is from RNAcentral.
ACUCAAAUGAAUUGACGGGGGCCCGCACAAGCGGCGGAGCGUGCGGUUUAAUUCGACGCAACGCGCAAAACCUUACCAGGGCUUGACAUGCGCCUGCAUCCCCCGGAAACGGGGUGGCCUUCGAGGGUGGCGCACAGGUGCUGCAUGGCUGUCGUCAGCUCGUGUCGUGAGAUGUUGGGUUAAGUCCCGCAACGAGCGCAACCCCCGUGGUCAGUUGCCGAUGUUUCUGGCCAGACUGCCGGCAGCAAACCGGAGGAAGGUGGGGAUGACGUCAAGUCAGCAUGGCCCUUACGUCCUGGGCGACACGCACGCUACAAUGGCCGGGACAACGGGUUGCCAAACCGCAAGGUGGAGCCAAUCCCCCAAACCCGGCCUCAGUUGGAAUCGCGGGCUGCAACUCGCCCGCGUGAACGUGGAGUCGCUAGUAACCGUGGGUCAGCAUUACCGCGGUGAAUACGUUCCCGGGCCUUGUACACACCGCCCGU